AGCGAACGCUGGCGGCAGGCCUAACACAUGCAAGUCGAACGAACUCUUCGGAGUUAGUGGCGGACGGGUGAGUAACACGUGGGAACGUGCCUUUUGGUUCGGAAUAACUCAGGGAAACUUGUGCUAAUACCGAAUGUGCCCUUCGGGGGAAAGAUUUAUCGCCAUUAGAGCGGCCCGCGCCUGAUUAGCUAGUUGGUGAGGUAACGGCUCACCAAGGCGACGAUCAGUAGCUGGUCUGAGAGGAUGACCAGCCACACUGGGACUGAGACACGGCCCAGACUCCUACGGGAGGCAGCAGUGGGGAAUCUUGCGCAAUGGGCGAAAGCCUGACGCAGUCAUGCCGCGUGAAUGAUGAAGGUCUUAGGAUUGUAAAAUUCUUUCACCGGGGACGAUAAUGACGGUACCCGGAGAAGAAGCCCCGGCUAACUUCGUG
RNAcentral lists this ribosomal RNA (433 nucleotides) under uncultured bacterium. RNAcentral's name for it is "partial 16S ribosomal RNA". It matches the Rfam family "Bacterial small subunit ribosomal RNA", at positions 29 to 507 of the family's 1533-position model. The record is from RNAcentral.